This 87-nucleotide transfer RNA is filed under the name Planctomycetota bacterium. Its description in RNAcentral is "Planctomycetes bacterium tRNA-Leu". It matches the Rfam family "tRNA". Rfam says of the family: Transfer RNA (tRNA) molecules are approximately 80 nucleotides in length. Their secondary structure includes four short double-helical elements and three loops (D, anti-codon, and T loops). RNAcentral also lists the same sequence under 1 other name. The record is from RNAcentral. Lineage: Bacteria; Pseudomonadati; Planctomycetota.
GGGCGAGUGGUGGAACGGCAGACACUCGGGAUUUAAAAUCCCGUCCCCGUAAAUUCGGGGGUGCGGGUUCGAUUCCCGCCUCGCCCA